Molecule: transfer RNA, 69 nt
Filed under: Sphaerodactylus townsendi
Lineage: Eukaryota; Metazoa; Chordata; Lepidosauria; Squamata; Sphaerodactylidae
Description: tRNA-Ala
Source: RNAcentral
GCCAUGGCUCAGUGGUAAAACGCCUCCUUGGCAUGCAAAAGGUCCAAGGUUCAAUUCCUGGUAUCUCCA